This 253-nucleotide ribosomal RNA is filed under the name uncultured bacterium. RNAcentral describes it as "partial 16S ribosomal RNA". It matches the Rfam family "Bacterial small subunit ribosomal RNA", at positions 524 to 776 of the family's 1533-position model. The record is from RNAcentral.
UACAGAGGUCUCAAGCGUUGUUCGGAUUCAUUGGGCGUAAAGGGUGCGUAGGCGGUGUCGUAAGUCGGAUGUGAAAUCCCGGGGCUUAACUUCGGAACUGCAUUCGAUACUGCGAUACUCGAGGACUCGAGAGGAGAUUGGAAUUCACGGUGUAGCAGUGAAAUGCGUAGAUAUCGUAAGGAAGACCAGUGGCGAAGGCGGGUCUCUGGACAGUUCCUGACACUGAGACACGAAGGCCAGGGGAGCAAACGGG